CUGUCAGCUGAGCCGAGCUGUCAGUGUCAAUGUCAAACAAUCCCAAAAAUUCCAUCACAGUAUUUUAUUUUUCAACUUAAAAGAGAGAAAAUCCUUGUUCUUUGUUCCCUGAAGUUGAUUGUAGAACACCAUUAUGAGCAACAAUGAGAAGAAACGCAUCCCCGACGCGCCGGUGCCGGCGGCGGCCCCAGGGAACCUGCUGUCGAGCGUGGCGCCUCCUUCACAGCUUCCCAACUUUGUAACCACCAGUCCGGCACCUGUACCUGUUGCUGUGGUACCACAGCUGCCGCCAGAGUUGGCAGCUACUCUAGCUCCCGCUCCACCGGUGUCAAUUGCCCCUACACCACCCGUUGCUCCCACAUCAGUGCCUAUUGCUCCUGCGAUAAUCCCUGCUGUACCAGUGCAGCCUGAUUCACCUGACAGAUUUUGCCCUGCUAUACCACCAAGUAAAGGAGAACCCAUGCUGUCAAUAAGGUCUCCAGAGGAUUCCCAAAAUACACAGUCGCCUGAUUCCUUGCCAGAUACGAUGUCUGAAGUGGACAAACUUGGCGACAUAAUGCCGGGCACUGGCCUAUUUACCUGGGUAAAGGGAGCGGUUGCGUCUGGAGGGAUUCUGCAGCGCGUGGCUGAGAAGGCGAAGAACUCUGUGGACUCUAUGAUUACUACACUCGACCCACAGAUGAAGGAGUACCUCAACAGCGGCGGCGACGUGAAUAUAGUGGUAGCUUCGGACAAGGACGUCAAAAUAUCGCCCGUUCGAGAGGCGUUUCAAAUUGUUUUCGGCAAAGCAACUGUCACAGGCUACGAGGCCCAGAGCGAUGUAACGGCAGCACAACCAGUAGGUUACGCCGCAGCCUAUGCGGCCGCCAAGCAGCGCAUCGCUGAAAUCCGCUCAGCACAUACUGAAGUGCAUAACAACAUACCUAUUGUAGCUGUCGAGGGCUUCUUGCAUGAGGCAGUUGCUGACAGAUGGUACGCGAUAGACCUGCUAGUCCUCUCCCAGCCUUCCCUCGGAAUCGAACUGCAACUACAGUCCCAAGGCUGCCCAGUGCCCGCGGCCGCGGUCGCAGCGGCACGUGCCAACACGCCUGAAGACUACGCACAUAUACAGACAGGGUUCAGCGUCACUGUGCCAUCUGUCAUGGCCGACAGUUUACAGGUGCCACACACACAAUGGCAUGAAGCGAGCACUGGUGUAAGCCGCCGUGAACUUCUAUUGUUAGCCGCGAAGUCACUAGCAGGCUCUUAUAAGAAGCUGCUGGCGGUGUCCGCUGCGGAAAUAUGAACGAUUUGCUCCCGGAAUUUUGACUGAUGUACCUACCUAGGAUACCAGACCGUAUUUGUAUAUUACGCUAAUGAAAUCUAUUAGGAGUAUACUUAGAUUAAGCUUGUUACGUGAUAUAAAUAAUACACAACACACCUAUUGUAUAAUUAUGAUGGUCCUAAUCUCCUCUAGGGCCUGAAAAAAGAAAUUGGCGUUCUGUGCCUAAAAGUUCUUUGCAUAAGAGAUCAUUUUCUGAUGGGAAACCACAUAUUGGUUCGUUAUUUAGAAAGGUAAAAAAAAAAGUUUGUCUGUCACAUUGCUAAAUGUCUCGAGAACUACUUAGACUUUUUUUAGUAAUAGGUGGUUUUCAAUGGCCAAAAUGGUUUUUGUGCUUGAAGGACGUUUUUAUCAGAAAUUAGUCCUUAUCGCAGAUACAUCAUAAGGACCCUUUGGGCAUGUAAUACCACAUGUAAUAUAGCUACUUAUAAAUGCAAUU
RNAcentral lists this unclassified non-coding RNA (1760 nucleotides) under Leguminivora glycinivorella. Its description in RNAcentral is "protein PRRC1-like, transcript variant X1". The record is from RNAcentral. Lineage: Eukaryota; Metazoa; Arthropoda; Insecta; Lepidoptera; Tortricidae.